RNAcentral lists this ribosomal RNA (253 nucleotides) under uncultured bacterium. RNAcentral describes it as "partial 16S ribosomal RNA". It matches the Rfam family "Bacterial small subunit ribosomal RNA", at positions 524 to 776 of the family's 1533-position model. The record is from RNAcentral.
UACGGGGGGGGCAAGCGUUGUUCGGAAUUACUGGGCGUAAAGGGCUCGUAGGCGGCCAAGUAAGUCGGAUGUGAAAUCCCCAGGCUCAACCUGGGAACUGCAUCCGAUACUGGAUGGCUUGAAUUCGGGAGAGGGAUGCAGAAUUCCAGGUGUAGCGGUGAAAUGCGUAGAUAUCAAGAGGAACACCUGAGGUGAAGACGGGUUGCUGGGCUGACACUGACGCUGAGGCGCGAAAGCCAGGGGAGCAAACGGG